Non-coding RNA from Hordeum vulgare subsp. vulgare (domesticated barley), 124 nucleotides. Lineage: Eukaryota; Viridiplantae; Streptophyta; Magnoliopsida; Poales; Poaceae. The record is from Rfam.
AUAUUACUCCUUCCGUCCAGAAAUACUUGUCAUAGGAAUGGAUGUAUCUAGAUGUGUUUUAGUUCGAGAUACAUCCAUUUUAUACAUUUGUGCGACAAGUAAAUCCGGAUGGAGGGAAUAUUUA